Cucumis sativus (cucumber) is the source of this 1677-nucleotide long non-coding RNA. RefSeq lists it as uncharacterized. The record is from RefSeq and is a predicted model, not a curated record. The transcript has 3 exons. NCBI's taxonomy places the organism in Eukaryota, Viridiplantae, Streptophyta, Magnoliopsida, Cucurbitales, Cucurbitaceae.
UGUACUUCUGUUAAUUAAUUAUAGUCUUUCUCUCUUGUUUGAGUAAUUAUUGUCUAUGAUUUUGUUAGCAAAGGCUUCCCGUGAAAAUUUAGUUUGUUGUGCUGCAUGUCCACGAUGAUUUUCGUGAUUUUAGUUUUAGAUACAUAAAAAGGAUUUUGCAUCACAACAUGAAUGACUAUUUCUAAAUAUGAACCUACAAUAACCUCAAAUGAAUGUCGGAUUAAAUUGGAAACAGGGCAGAUAGAGAGUGAGAUGGAGAUUGUUUGUAUGUGCUUUAGAGCCAUCUGUCUCUAAAACGUAGUUUCUUCCCCUUAUUUUUUUUUUAUAAGAAGUAAUUUUAUUGAUGUAUGAAAUUUACAAAAGGUUUGGUGGAACACCCACGCCAAUAGAGUUUACAAGAGAUUUCUCCAAUCAGUCAGAAGAGAUGCAAGAAUAGAGAUUGGAAUAGCUAUAGAGACAUGAAAAAUUGCACUAAGUCAUAGCAGGAUAGAUUAUAUUUUAAAAAGAAUAAAAAACCUAUCUUAAGGCAUGCCUUUUCACUAAGGAGGCGAUUGUUCAUGUUCCUUCCAUGCGAAUUUGUAAAAAUUUCCGAAUAAGAUGCAUCCACAUAAUUCUUUUAAAGUCAGUAAAGAGUGCCAGUGAGGGUGCAUAAAAGAAGGUUCAUAAUAUUUGUUUCAUAGGGUGGCAUUAACCAAAGGAGAGAUAGAUCUGCUUCCUAAAUUUUUCAGCAAAAUGGCAACUAAUAAACUGGCUGGUGUUUCAUCGACAACUUUACAUAAUGGGCAACAAUGAGAGAAUAAAGUCAUAUGUGGGAACUCUGUCACGUGUUAAUAAUUGCAUUAUGGCCUAGAAGCACUCUAGGUAAAGCAAAAGCACUCUAGGUAAAAAUUAUCAUCAUGUCGAGAGACCAAACAAAAUGUUGAAUUGAAUCGUAUUGGUCUCUACUAGGGGUUAUUACUCAUUUUUGUACUUUCUGUUUUAUUUUCCAAUUAUUUCUUCAAUUAAAUAAAAGAAAAUACUAAAUAAUAGUAAGUAUUAUCUUAUCCCAUUACGAAGGGUAUCAUCUCAUAAUUAUCUACGACUGUUUAUGCUAGUACGACCACACAUUAGAGUAUUUCUUUUUUCAGAAACUAGAAAACGCUCAUAGAUAGCCUUUUGGUCUAGGUGCUUGACCAAGAAGCACUUAAACAAUAGUACGAGAGUGAAAGAAAACAUCUGAGUAUUUUAUUAUUAAUCAUUUUUUUUAUAUUGAAGGGUUCAUAAUUGCAUUAAACACACCCCUUGUGCUUUGGCUAUUGUUUGAGGUCUGUACACACCUUGAUAGGUGGAUGGUAUUCUAAUUAAUGUAAGGCUUUUUUCUAUGACUUAAAAGUAAUUAUUUCUGUUAUAAUAAACAGAUUCUGCACAUUUCAGAUGUUGAGGUGCGAGAGACCAAGAUGAUGGGAAGCACUCCCAUUAUCAUUGUAGUUUUCCAAACGCAACAGGUCUACUGCAUACGUGAUGCAAAUGGAUCAAUUAGAGAAGGCGGUAAUAAACACAGAAUUUCAACAAUCUGUCUAAGCGUUGAAGGAGAAGGCAGAAGAACUUAAGAGUUGCUAGGUCGUUUUAAAAACUCAAGUAAUACCUAGACACGUUUUGAGCACGUUUUAGGUUGGUUUGAUACUAAGUUUGUUGCAC